RNAcentral lists this ribosomal RNA (440 nucleotides) under uncultured bacterium. RNAcentral describes it as "partial 16S ribosomal RNA". It matches the Rfam family "Bacterial small subunit ribosomal RNA", at positions 338 to 795 of the family's 1533-position model. The record is from RNAcentral.
CCUCCGUGUUUCCGCCGUUUUUACUAUUUCCCCCUUUUUUUCCCCCUUAUUCAGCGACGCCUCGUGGGUGAGGAAGUACUUCGGUAUGUAAAGCCCUAUCAGCAGGGAAGAAAAUGACGGUACCUGACUAAGAAGCCCCGGCUAACUACGUGCCAGCGGCCGCGGUAAUACGUAGGGGGCAAGCGUUAUCCGGAUUUACUGGGUGUAAAGGGAGCGUAGACGGCGUGCCAAGUCUGAUGUGAAAGGCCGGGGCUCAACCCCGGGACUGCAUUGGAAACUGGCAUGCUGGAGUGCCGGAGGGGCAAGCGGAAUUCCUAGUGUAGCGGUGAAAUGCGUAGAUAUUAGGAGGAACACCGGUGGCGAAGGCGGCUUGCUGGACGGUAACUGACGUUGAGGCUCGAAAGCGUGGGGAGCAAACAGGAUUAGAUACCCCUGUAGUC